AUGAACCAAAAAUUCACGAUGAGCGCAACCUAUGAGCUAAGCAUCAGAAACGAUGGCCACCUCAUUGACAUCGCUCCAAGUCCAACCACUGGCACGAAUAACGCUCUCAAUCAGAGCGGCGGCGAGAUCCGCACGGAAUGGCUGCGGGAGCUGACGUCGGCGUCACGGAGCGCCGCCGUCCUGAACGACCUCGUCGGCCGAACGCCGGUGCUGUGGUACCUCGGCGAGCGCGCGGCCACCAUCCUCCGGCCGCGCUCCCGGCGCGCCGACCUGAAGGCGCUACACGCGGUGGCCAUAGGCCCGUACCACCGCGGCGACCGUGGCCUCGCCUUCGACGACGAGGCCAAGCUGCCGUUCCUGCGGUACCUGCAGGACCGGUGCGGGCUCGACGUCGAGCAGUACGUCGCGGCGCUCGGGGCGGCGCGCGGCCGCUUCCGCGAGGAGUUCGCCGACGACGCGGACGCGGUCGCCGCGGAUUGGCUCCGGGACGAGGAGAAAUUCGUGAAGAUGCUUCUCCUGGACAGCAGCUUCCUCCUCGUCUUCAGCCUCAUGUUCGGCAAGACCGGCGGCUCGGAGGAACGGGCGGCGGCGUCCGUGGUCACCAGGGAGCGAUUCAUACUGUACACGGCCGUGGCGCAGUACGCCGACGAGGUCAAGCUCGACCUGCUCGUGCUGGAGAACCAGAUCCCCUUUGCCGUCGUCAAGCUGCUCGCCGCCUCGUGCCGCAGCCUGAAGCUCCGCUCCGUCGAGGAGCUGGUGGUCGGCUGCUUCGACGGCAUCUGGCCGACCAGGGCGCGCGGCAAGGUCGAGUUGUUGCUCCGGCAGACGACGGACGCGAGAUUCUAUCACAUCCUACACCUCUUCCACUGGUCGCGCGUCCCGGAGAACAAGUACCGCCUCCUCUCGGUGCCGCUCAAGUUUCCCGAGGCCAAGGAAUCGGAGUCGGAGUGGAUCAUGCCUUGCGCCAGAGAGCUGCAUCGGGCGGCGGUGUGGUUCCGGAAGCCAUGUCUGGACGGGGCGGAGAGGCACGGCGGCGACCUCAACAUGGAGUUCCGGAGCGCGGCGGCGAGCCCGAUGGCGGUGAUGACCAUCCCCAGCUUCCACAUCCUCGCCUACACCGCGGCGCUGCUCCAUUCCAUGGUGGCCUUCGAGAAGCACUUCCACUGGGCGCACGGCGCCUGCGUGACGGUACACGUCAGGCGCAUGGAGGGCCUCAUACGGUGCCCGCAGGACGCGGCGCUGCUUCGCCGCCGGUGGAUCCUCGGCAGCGUCAAGUGCACCGACGAGGAGGUGGUGGAUUUCUUCCGUGACAUGGUCGCGGAGGCGGCCGGGGUGCGCAUGCCCGAAGAGUACGGCGGGAUGAUCAGCGCUGUGGCGCGGCACAGGAGGAGGCGGGCGCGCAGAUGGUGUGGGGACUUGAUACUGCACUUCCUCCCGUCGCCCUGGGUGUCCGUCUCGCUCGCCGCCGUUGUUGCGCUCAUCAUUGUGCCGGCCAUGUUGCAGACAAUCUACACCGUUUUGGGCUACAAAAAGUAG
RNAcentral lists this ribosomal RNA (1536 nucleotides) under Triticum aestivum (bread wheat). RNAcentral's name for it is "partial small subunit ribosomal RNA". Lineage: Eukaryota; Viridiplantae; Streptophyta; Magnoliopsida; Poales; Poaceae. The record is from RNAcentral.